CCUAGCGUUUUUCUUUCAUAUUUGUGAUUCAUCUGUUAGCAUACUAUCGGUGCGUGAUUUCUGUGAAAGAGAAAAAGAAAAUAAUGCUCCUUUAAUGGAAAUGUUCGUCAAUGAAUUGCCGCCAUGACGGGAAUAUCUGAAAAAACCGUAAGCGCCAUAACUAAAGAAGGCGAAAUUGCUGCAUCCACUUCUCAAAAAAUUUCUACGCCCAGAAAAAAACGCAUCCAAGAAAAAAUAAUUAUUUUGGGUGAUUUUGAUCUAUGUGCAGUUCGAAAUAAAAUACUUGAAAUGUAUAUCGUCAGAAAGGAGGUACCGACUUUGGGGAAGCUCUUAGCAGAGUUAAAAAUUGAUACACAUUUUUGUGCAGGUCGUACUACAUUACGGAAAAUUAUACCUGCCUUCGAAAAAAUGCUGUGGGAAACUCUAUUUCACUAUUUCUUGAGGGAAAGUGAAAUAUUGUGAAAAACGUUUGAUAGCUUUUAAUGACAGGUAGCCUAAAACGCAAAUAGAUUACUUUAUUUCCGAAUAAUAAAACUAUUAAAAUAA
Long non-coding RNA from Leptidea sinapis, 546 nucleotides. RefSeq lists it as uncharacterized. Lineage: Eukaryota; Metazoa; Arthropoda; Insecta; Lepidoptera; Pieridae. The record is from RefSeq and is a predicted model, not a curated record. The transcript is spliced from 2 exons.